RNAcentral lists this ribosomal RNA (961 nucleotides) under human gut metagenome. Its description in RNAcentral is "bacterial SSU rRNA". It matches the Rfam family "Bacterial small subunit ribosomal RNA", at positions 8 to 989 of the family's 1533-position model. The record is from RNAcentral.
AGAGUUUGAUUCUGGCUCAGAACGAACGCUGGCGGCGUGGAUAAGACAUGCAAGUCGAACGAGAGAAUUGCUAGCUUGCUAAUAAUUCUCUAGUGGCGCACGGGUGAGUAACACGUGAGUAACCUGCCCCCGAGAGCGGGAUAGCCCUGGGAAACUGGGAUUAAUACCGCAUAGUAUCGAAAGAUUAAAGCAGCAAUGCGCUUGGGGAUGGGCUCGCGGCCUAUUAGUUAGUUGGUGAGGUAACGGCUCACCAAGGCGAUGACGGGUAGCCGGUCUGAGAGGAUGUCCGGCCACACUGGAACUGAGACACGGUCCAGACACCUACGGGUGGCAGCAGUCGAGAAUCAUUCACAAUGGGGGAAACCCUGAUGGUGCGACGCCGCGUGGGGGAAUGAAGGUCUUCGGAUUGUAAACCCCUGUCAUGUGGGAGCAAAUUAAAAAGAUAGUACCACAAGAGGAAGAGACGGCUAACUCUGUGCCAGCAGCCGCGGUAAUACAGAGGUCUCAAGCGUUGUUCGGAAUCACUGGGCGUAAAGCGUGCGUAGGCUGUUUCGUAAGUCGUGUGUGAAAGGCGCGGGCUCAACCCGCGGACGGCACAUGAUACUGCGAGACUAGAGUAAUGGAGGGGGAACCGGAAUUCUCGGUGUAGCAGUGAAAUGCGUAGAUAUCGAGAGGAACACUCGUGGCGAAGGCGGGUUCCUGGACAUUAACUGACGCUGAGGCACGAAGGCCAGGGGAGCGAAAGGGAUUAGAUACCCCUGUAGUCCUGGCAGUAAACGGUGCACGCUUGGUGUGCGGGGAAUCGACCCCCUGCGUGCCGGAGCUAACGCGUUAAGCGUGCCGCCUGGGGAGUACGGUCGCAAGAUUAAAACUCAAAGAAAUUGACGGGGACCCGCACAAGCGGUGGAGUAUGUGGCUUAAUUCGAUGCAACGCGAAGAACCUUACCUGGGCUUGACAUGU